CAAGAUUUAAGUAGUGCUGUAAGAUCAUCCUUAUAUUUCCUUUUCUCUCCAGCUGAAUCUAGUAUUCCUGAGCUAUGCCAUGCUAACAGCAUUGCCAAGUGAAGUCUGCUGUUGUUUUAGCUACACAUCACUGUCAAUAGUGUAGUAGCUUCCCUGAGCGGCUUCAUUCAUGUGCCUCAACUUUGCCUAUUUGAAACAAUCUGAGGGAGAUUCAGUUUCCAUCCCCAAUCAGUGGAUUUGCAGCCUUUCUGCUGAGAUUUCCAACAAAGGUGCUACUUGCAGUUGGGAUUUUUACUAUGUGGACAUUUUUCCAAUGGGGUCUGGAUUUAGAUCAUCCGUUCAUUUCACAAACAUUUUCAAACAGCCAUCAGAUGGAAAUAACUGCCCUUUCCUCAUGACCAAACUGGGCUGGACUUGAAAGAAACUAGAGGUUUUCACUUUCGUUGAUACCUGAGGAAGUGAACAUCCUCAUAAGUGAGCACUGAAAUACUAAUCCUUGCUGGUAUUGUGCUUCCAUCACGAUGCCCACGGUUUAUGAGGUAGUUGGACACUCCUGACACCCUGAAGAUUCAAGUUAUUGGCAAAACUAUCUGGACUUCAAUGGGAGCAGGUUUAACAGCCACAAUAGUCAAUUCCAGCAGGUUUCAGUGGACCAUGUAGUAACUCAAUGUCACUAGAGCAUGAAAGAAGAAAAGGAAAACAGCUGGGAGGAAAAAGUGCAGCUUUAAUGUGCAGUGGGCUGUCCUCUCUAAAGGCAUAUUAUUUCAAGAAACUGACAUCUGGCAUUUUCCAUAUUUGGAUCGAAAGACUUGAACUAAGGGACUCUACUACCCCAGAAGAGAUGAAAACAUAAAGGUGACCUGACCACAGAGCCAAGUCACCACCACAGACCAUGGGAGCCUGGAGGAAGAGACUGAGGGAGAGGGACUGCCAUGUCAGGCUUCACCAUAAGGGGCACUGCAGGACUGUGAGUCUUGAACAGAGAAAGAGACAGAACAAUGGGAGUCUUUCAAAGUGACCUGGGCUAAGUUACAAAAAGUGUCUAUACUGCGACUCCAUGAGCAGGAAGAGAGCUGCAGCAAUGGAAGAAAAGGAAGGAGGCACUGAAGCAGAUAGAGCUCAUCUCUAGAAGGAGGUACCACCCAGCUCUGUUUUCCAGGCUUCGUGUAGCAUUCUGAGUAUGCAUUUUCUAUGAUUGAACCUCUACAAAAGAACCUGAUCUCAAAAGCACCGCAGUUUCUGGUACCAGCUCUAGUUAAAGCUGCUUUUUGGAAAGAAGAAAAACCUGUUAAAUGUCCAUCGAGGAGCCACAAAAAUAUUCAUAGGUUGCUUGUUUGCUCCAAAGAUUUAAUAACCUGAGACAGUGAUUUUCAACCUGUGGUCUGCCAGAGGACUGCCAGAAAUCCGCAUACAAUGCCUAAGAUUUCCAUAGAAGUCUGCACCUCCAUUCGAAAUUUUUUUUAGGGCUCCACAAAGGAAAAAAGCUUAAAAACCACUGAUCUAAGAUAAGACUGAAUGUUUUGCUUCUUUACCACUUAGCAUGCAAGGGCUCCAAGCCUGACUGGGGCCUAAGAACAUUAUCUUAAUACAAAUAUAACCCUUCCUAAUUAGUAUUGCUAUUUAUUUAAACUGCUUCAAAAUAAAGGACAU
Molecule: long non-coding RNA, 1650 nt
Organism: Mauremys reevesii (Reeves's turtle)
Lineage: Eukaryota; Metazoa; Chordata; Testudines; Geoemydidae
Exons: 7
Source: RefSeq, a predicted model, not a curated record